CCUACGGGCGGCAGCAGUGGGGGAUAUUGGACAAUGGGGGAAACCCUGAUCCAGCGAUGCCGCGUGAGGGAAGAAGGUUUUCGGAUUGUAAACCUCUGUUGAGGGGGACGAUAAUGACGGUACCCCUUUAGGAAGCCACGGCUAACUACGUACCAGCCGCCGCGGUACUACGUAGGUGGCGCGCGUUGUCCGGAAUUACUGGGUGUAAAGGGAGUGUAGGCGGGAAAGCAAGUCAGAAGUGAAAACUAUGGGCUUAACCCAUAGCCUGCUUGUGAAACUGUUUUUCGUGAGUGAGGUAGAGGCAAGAGGAAUGCGUAGUGUAGCGGUGAAAUGCGUAGAUAUUAGGAAGAACACCAGUGGCGAAGGCAGCUUGCUGGGCUUUUACUGACGCUGAGGCUCGAAAGCGUGGGGAGCAAACAGGAUUAGAUACCCGAGUAGUC
RNAcentral lists this ribosomal RNA (440 nucleotides) under uncultured bacterium. Its description in RNAcentral is "partial 16S ribosomal RNA". It matches the Rfam family "Bacterial small subunit ribosomal RNA", at positions 338 to 795 of the family's 1533-position model. The record is from RNAcentral.